This 493-nucleotide ribosomal RNA is filed under the name uncultured bacterium. Its description in RNAcentral is "partial 16S ribosomal RNA". It matches the Rfam family "Bacterial small subunit ribosomal RNA", at positions 28 to 507 of the family's 1533-position model. The record is from RNAcentral.
GACGAACGCUGGCGGCGUGCUUAACACAUGCAAGUCGAACGGUGAAGGGACCGGUUUUUGCUGGUUCUGGAUGAGUGGCGAACGGGUGAGUAACACGUGAGUAACCUGCCCCCUUCUUCUGGAUAACCGCAUGAAAGUGUGGCUAAUACGGGAUAUUCUGCGCCUGCUGCAUGGUGGGUGUGGGAAAGAUAUUGUUUCGGUGGGGGAUGGGCUCGCGGCCUAUCAGCUUGUUGGUGGGGUGAUGGCCUACCAAGGCGGUGACGGGUAGCCGGCCUGAGAGGGUGGACGGUCACACUGGGGCUGAGCCACGGCCCAGACUCCUACGGGAGGCAGCAGUGGGGAAUAUUGCACAAUGGGCGCAAGCCUGAUGCAGCGACGCCGCGUGAGGGAUGGAGGCCUUCGGGUUGUAAACCUCUUUCGCCAGUGAAGCAGGCCUGUCCCUUUUGUGGGUGGGUUGACGGUAGCUGGAUAAGAAGCGCCGGCUAACUACGUG